Mangifera indica (mango) is the source of this 1387-nucleotide RNA transcript. RefSeq lists it as uncharacterized. The record is from RefSeq and is a predicted model, not a curated record. Lineage: Eukaryota; Viridiplantae; Streptophyta; Magnoliopsida; Sapindales; Anacardiaceae. The transcript is spliced from 7 exons.
CUAUGCAUAAUAUAUUCAAAGCCCUUCCAGUUUUUUAGGGUUUUGCAAAAUGAUUUGCGCUACAAUUAGGUUGUCAAGAUCAGCGACUACCCAGUAUUCGGUUGCCGUGGGACUCCUUCCAUGGACCCUUGCUACUUUCUGCUCAAUCACCACCGUUGAGAUUACUUCAUGAUGGAACCAACAGAAACGGCUCAAAUUCAAAUUCAGUUGUGUUUCAGACGAUCAAUUACGCUCUCUCUCAUGCUUGUACUCGAGCAGUGCUUCUCUACUCAGCCAAGUGAAAGCCAAUGAGCUCAAAGUUGGAGGGGAACUGCUUUACCCGCUCUGUCUACUUUAUUAUAUGAAAGAGGGAAUUUAAUGGAAGCAAUAGACAAGCUGCAGAAAGUUGAAAAUUUAGAACAAUCUUCUCUGGGAGUAAGAGUUGCUGCGGUGUUCUUGUUGGUCUCCAUUUACAGUUGGGGCAAGAUCAUACUUCGUCAGUGGUCACAGAUAAAUGCUUAGAAAUUCUGGGAAAAUGCAAACCAGAGAAUGGUGAAGGUGAUUAUGCAGCUGUUAAUUCUCGUGCUGAGGCAGUAAAAGGGCUGGUUGAGCUUGUCCAUGGAAAUGUUGAAUCAGCUGAAUCUUUCUUCAGAGGACUGCAGGAGAAUGUAGGGGCUUUAUAGACGGGCAUUAGAACUGCUGGAAGCUCCACCAUUGGAUUCUGAGGGUAUAGCCAGUGUCUUAGUAUUUUGUCUAUCCCCGGUGGUAUCCAGGAGUGAUUCUUUUUUGCCUACUUGAUUGCACAGGUUUUGAGACAAAAGUGGAUAGAAGACAUAUAAUGGCCCUUGCAAGAGCUAUACUUCAAAAUCGUAUUGCUUUUCUUUUUGCAUACUCAUAUAUUCUUAUGGAGGGAUCAUGACUCAGUGAUGAGUUAUUUCUGCCUAUCAUGUCACAGAAAUGUGGAUAUGCUGAAGCGCUCUGUAUUCAGCAGAACAGAAAGAAUGAAGGUGAGAGAAUGAAAAGGUGGGCAGAAGCUGCCUGGAGAAACCACCCCAUGUCACUGGCCGAUGCCCUGCAAUUCUCAGAUCCAUCUAAUAAAGUGAUGGUUAUAGAUGCUCGAACUAGCAGGGCCAUAUAAUCAUCUUAUUCCAGGUUCAGUAGCUGUUAGAUAGCUCUAGUUAUACUCUGCAGAUUGCAUGGCAACAUGAAUUUUGCCGCAAAACAAAUGAAGAACAUAACCUAUUUAUGAUCUGUUUAUGUAUGAAAUAAUGUGAAGAGAUGCAAGGCCAGUGGCAUUGCUAAGUUUUGCUGUCUGAAAUCUUGUUGUAUCAACUAGAGACUGCUGAAACUCGUAAUUUGCAUGAAGAGUAUUUCAAUGUGCAGUUACUGUAUAAACCGUCUGGCCGAA